GAAUUGCGAUAUGUAAUGUGAAUUGCAGAAUUCAGUGAAUCAUCGAAUCUUUGAACGCACCUUGCGCCCUUUGGUAUUCCGAAGGGCAUGCCUGUUUGAGUGUCAUUAAAUUCUCCACUUCAAAAGUAUUUUUGAAGCUGGGACUAUGGGGGUCUGCUGAUGUUAUAGUCAGCUCUCCUUAAAUGCAUUAGCGGAACUUUAAGUACCAGCUUUGGUUUGAUAAUCCUAUCUAUGCCGUCGCUGUGUUGCUUGUGUGUUCAGCUUCUAAUGGUCUUCGGACUGUCUCUUUUAGAGGCAUACACUUUAAGCUUGACCUCAAAUCAGGUAGGACUACCCGCUGAACUUAA
This 347-nucleotide unclassified non-coding RNA is filed under the name uncultured Clavulinopsis. RNAcentral describes it as "sequence contains ITS1". The stretch from base 1 to 105 matches the Rfam family "5.8S ribosomal RNA", at positions 50 to 154 of the family's 154-position model. The record is from RNAcentral. Lineage: Eukaryota; Fungi; Basidiomycota; Agaricomycetes; Agaricales; Clavariaceae.